UCUAUUUUUAUUCAGGCCCACAUCCGCUACCAUGCAGUCGAGCGGAUGAGUGGAGCUUGCUCCAUGAUUCAGCGGCGGACGGGUGAGUAAUGCCUAGGAAUCUGCCUGGUAGUGGGGGAUAACGUUUCGAAAGGAACGCUAAUACCGCAUACGUCCUACGGGAGAAAGUGGGGGAUCUUCGGACCUCACGCUAUCAGAUGAGCCUAGGUCGGAUUAGCUAGUUGGUGGGGUAAUGGCCCACCAAGGCGACGAUCCGUAACUGGUCUGAGAGGAUGAUCAGUCACACUGGAACUGAGACACGGUCCAGACUCCUACGGGAGGCAGCAGUGGGGAAUAUUGGACAAUGGGCGAAAGCCUGAUCCAGCCAUGCCGCGUGUGUGAAGAAGGUCUUCGGAUUGUAAAGCACUUUAAGUUGGGAGGAAGGGCAGUAAGUUAAUACCUUGCUGUUUUGACGUUACCAACAGAAUAAGCACCGGCUAACUUCGUGCCAGCAGCCGCGGUAAUACGAAGGGUGCAAGCGUUAAUCGGAAUUACUGGGCGUAAAGCGCGCGUAGGUGGUUCAGCAAGUUGGAUGUGAAAGCCCCGGGCUCAACCUGGGAAUUGCAUCCAAAACUACUGAGCUAGAGUACGGUAGAGGGUGGUGGAAUUUCCUGUGUAGCGGUGAAAUGCGUAGAUAUAGGAAGGAACACCAGUGGCGAAAGCGACCACCUGGACUGAUACUGACACUGAGGUGCGAAAGCGUGGGGAGCAAACAGGAUUAGAUACCCUGGUAGUCCACGCCGUAAACGAUGUCGACUAGCCGUUUGGGAUCCUUUGAGAUCUUAGUGGCGCAGCUAACGCGAUAAGUCGACCGCCUGGGGAGUACGGGCCGCAAGUUUAAAACUCAAAUGAAUUGACGGGGGGCCCGCACAAGCGUGCAGCAUGUGCUUUAUUCGAAGCAACGCGUAGACUUUACUGGCUGACUGCAAAGAACAUUUCCAGAGAGUUGUGGCGA
This 994-nucleotide ribosomal RNA is filed under the name Metapseudomonas otitidis. Its description in RNAcentral is "bacterial SSU rRNA". It matches the Rfam family "Bacterial small subunit ribosomal RNA", at positions 24 to 1018 of the family's 1533-position model. The record is from RNAcentral. Lineage: Bacteria; Pseudomonadati; Pseudomonadota; Gammaproteobacteria; Pseudomonadales; Pseudomonadaceae.